AAGGUUUUAAGUUAAAUAAACUCUUAACCUUCAAAGUUAAUAUUAAAUUAUAAAUUUAAACCUUA
Molecule: transfer RNA, 65 nt
Filed under: Acantholachesilla sp. AcspLA
Lineage: Eukaryota; Metazoa; Arthropoda; Insecta; Psocodea; Lachesillidae
Description: tRNA-Trp
Source: RNAcentral